AGGAAUAAAUCCUUGGAUGUUUUACUUGAUAGGACUUUUCAAAGUCCUCUCUUUAGUCCAGCCUUCAAAGCAAAAUCUGACUACGUAAAGGAACCUGUUCCUGAAAUUGCGUUAGAAGGGCUAUGGUCAAAGCUUUAUGAGGAAGAAGCAAAAUCUGCCGGUGUACUUUUUGUGGCUUAUGGGGGGGAAAUGGAUGAGAUUCCAGAGACUGCAACUCCAUUUCCGCAUAGAGCUGGCAACUUAUACAAAAUCUUAUACGCUGUAGGUUGGCAAAAAGAAGACAACAAAAAUUCCCAGAGGUACGUAAGUUGGAUUAGGAGAGUUUAUAGCUAUAUGAGUUCCUUUGUUUCAAAAUCACCUCGAGAGGCAUAUAUCAAUUAUAGAGAUCUUGACAUUGGAACUAACAACAAAGAUAACACUAGUUAUGCACAAGCAAGUGUUUGGGGUCAUAAAUAUUUUAAGAAUAACUUUGAUAAGUUGAUAAGUGUGAAAACAAUGAUUGAUCCAGAAAAUUUCUUCAGACAUGAACAAAGCAUCCCUCCACUUUUGUCCAGAUGGAAGAAAAGAGGCAAUUAGAGUGUAUAUAACCUUGGUGGACGCUUUUAAUUAGAAAAGCACACAUCAUAGCUCUAAAUAAAAUGUUUGAUUAGUUCUUUGUUACCAUUUCUGGCUGGCAUAAUGCAUGAGUAGUAUGCAUAACCCAUUAAUUACCUUUGGUUGAAACAAGUUAAUGUGUGUUGACAAUGAUAAAUCUUAGCCUUUCUUUCUCCAGAUUUCAUUAUUAGAUACAAAAACAUGCAAAUACAUGUAUAAUUUUAGCUUUUGGCCCUUGUAUGUUCUAAAAGAUUCAGAAUAGUGUAAUGCAGCACAUUUUUCUCAUUUGUUGUGCUAAAAAAUUCUUAGACUUUUUUCAAAGAUUUGACGAAAAAGUUAUCUAACGUUGAAUCAAUAUCUUUUAAAAAACAACAAGGAACAUGUCGGCUCUUGUGCUCAUAUAAGGUAUCUAACGUUCCUACACAUCAAAGACUUUUGCUAUCGGUAUUCGGAUUAUCCUCUUAACCACUAUUCAUUUGUGCUAGAGUUCAAAAUUUUAGACACAAAGCUAUUUAAUCAUUGAAAUUAACAUCAACUUUAUAAAGUUAAUUAAUAUAUUUAGUGAAAAGAAUAUAGUAAAAGUUUAUACAUACAUUUUUUGAAGCUUCUUAAUGUAGCGGUAGCCUUUGCAUCAAAUAUAGACUCCAUAAUUCCAGCUUGCUUUUAGCUUUAAACAAGGUCAAACUGAGCAGUUCUAUCCAAUAGUAAAGUUCAUGGUUAGUAGGUGGCCGUGUCACCUGUUGGUUCUCUCUAAGCAGCCGUGACAGCUGGCCCCGCAUGAUGAUUCUUGGAACAAUUAUUUCAAACAAUGCAACUUGCGUUUACCUUGUCCUGAAAAUUUUAAAUUUAGUAAUCAUUCAAUCUCUACCCAAGUCUAAUAAAUAAUUUUUUUAAAAAAGUACAUAAAUAAAUAAAAAAUCAAUAAAAUAAAAUCCUUAAAAACAAAAAACUUAGAUGAAAGGAUAUACAAGCAUCAUAAAAUAAAACCUAUCUGGAUAUUGUACUGUAUCCAGAAAAGUCCUGCUGAAUGACUACUUGUCCGAACCCACCAGCAAUAUUAAAAAAGACUUGUCUGAAAAAGCUUUUAAUUAACAAUAAAAGCCGACCAAAUUUAGUCGUAUAUCUCCUACCAAAACCGCACUUAAGUCUGUCCGUAAACAUCAUAAUAACGUAGACCGCCACACAUAAUGAGGUACACAUCUCGCUCAAGCCACUUAAGCCUACAAACUGGAAUCUCAUGCACACCUCACGAUCCAUAUCCAGCUGACCGAAUUUCGUGGUACACGUCCAACCAAAACCGCACUUAAGUUUAUCCGUAAGCCAGCAUAAUAACGUAGACCGCCACUCAUAAUGAGGUCCACAUCUCGUUCAAGCCACUUAAGCUGACAAAUUGGAACCUCAUGCACACCUCACGAUCCAUAUACAGCAGACCGAAUUUUGUGGUAUAUGUCCAAUCAAAGACGAAACUAAUUAAUUUUUGUUGAGAUUCAAAGAUAAAAAAAUUAAAAAUUAAAAUUUUUUAAAAUUAAUAUGUUGAAUUUAACCAACGAUCAAAAGAUUUAUAAUAGAUAAUAAUUUUAUAUAACAUGUAAGUAAGAAAAUAAAAAAAAUUAUAAUAAUUAUUUAAGAAAGUUAUGCUUGACAAUGUUUUCUAGAUUCAAAUUCAUCAAUUAUUGACUUUGUAUUGAAAAGACUAGCAAUGUCUUUCUCAAUAUAAAUAACUAAAUUAUCUACAAGAAACUCAUCAACCAUUUUGUUCCGGAGUCUUGUUUUCACAAUUUUCAUUACUGAAAAGGCUUUCUCUGUAGUUGCUGUAAAAAUUGAAAUAGUCAAAAUAAGGCGAAUUAAUUUAUCAAUCAAGUGGUAAUUCUUUGACUUUUUUGUUUCUGCUAAUCUCUGACAAAAUUCAGAAAGUAUCUUAAUAUCUUAAAAACUUUGAUAAUGAGGUAUAUAGAACUCGUAAUGCCUCAAUUGUAACCUCAAAAUAAGCUUUUCUUGUUCUGUGAAAUCUUGAAAAUAAAAACUCUCUGCUAACUUGCAGUUAUUAUCAAUAUUGAAUGAUUUGUAAUUGUUAUUAGGAUUCAAAACAGUGCUUAAAGUUAAAAGUUUCAUAGCUUGCUCAUUGAAUUUCGAAUUCAAUUCUUGUAACUGAGUAUCUAUCGUCACUAAGAAUAUAUCAACUCGAUAAUGAUGCUCCACAGUUACAUCUAGUUGACGAGAUCGACCUUUGCCCAAGAUAUAUCGUGCACCCAUGUCAGGAAUUUCUAUCUCAUGUUUUUGACAAAAUUUUUUCACAUUCUCAGAUAAAUUAGACCACCCAUCAUCUCUCAACUUCUGAAGGAGUGAUUUUGUAGUAAAACCAAGAUGAAUUGCAUUUAAAAUAUCUUAAGAGCGUAAUUGUAAUGCUUGGCAAAGAACAUUAGUGAUUCCCAUGAUCUCAUACAUCAAGUGUAAUAUGAAAAUAAAUUUAAAUGAUGCUAAUAUUUUACUAGCAGCAGAAGCAUCACCUCUUUGUGAAUAACUGGCCCCUUCAUCAAUAAUACUUUUCACAACAGUGCAAGUUGCAUCAAACAUUCUCAUCAAGCUAUAAAUAGAAUGAAAGUGUGAGCUCCAUCGAGUAUCUCCAGCUCUUUGUAGAGUUCCCACUUAAUUUGCUCCUCUACCUGUGUCAAGUUCAUCACUAGCAAUCAUGUUUGCAAUGUCAAUUGCUUGAGCAGCUUGUAAUUGGUCAUGUCGUUUGGAAGAAGCAUUAACAAUAUUUACAAUAGAAAUCAACUAUGUAAAAAAUUCAUGAAUAUGAACUACUCCUCUAAAUGCUGCAACCAAAGUUAAUUGUAAUCUAUGAGUAUAACAAUGCACAUAAUAUGCGUAUGGACAAUCAUUAAGCACCAAAGCUUGUAAACCAUUCCAUUCACCACGCAUGUUACUAGCACCAUCAUAUCCUUGACUUCGAAUACUUUCAACUUGAAGGUUAUAACGAGAAAGAACAGACACUAACUCUUUCUUCGAAGUCAUUGCACUGGUAUCACUAACAUGUACAAGAUCAAAGAAACGUUUUUGAACAAAACCAUCACCAUCAACAAAUCUCAAAAUAAUAGCCAUUUGCUCUAUUUUAAACUCAUCUCGAGCUUCAUCAAUAAUAAUACAAAACUUAGCAUUUCCCACUUCCUCUCUAAUCGAAUUUCUCACCAUAUUAGCCAAAAUAUGUAAAAUUUCCUUUUGAACAUCAUUGGAUGUGUACUUAGUAACACGUGGAGCAUUUUCCAAGACAAGCUUAUGAAAUUUGUCAUUGUAAGAUCCUAAAAAUUUCAGCAUUCAAUGAAAUUUCCUCUAUUUUUUGAGGAUGGACUUUCAUCAUGACCUCUAAAUGCACAAGCUUGAAAAGUUAACCAUCUAACACAAUCUAUAGAAGCUUUGAGCUUAAGCCGAUUAUUCAAGAUCUCUUCUGAUGCUUGUCUUUUGAUAAGCCUAUCAAUACGUUGGGAUUUCUUAAAUAAAUCCUCACAAGAUUUUAUAGCAACAUUGUGUGGGGAAUUUGGAUUUUUCCCAACAUGAUUCAAAAGUGAACAAUUUUCUCCACUAUUUACUUUCUUCCAACUUCUGAAACCCUUUUCAAUAAAUGCAUUUGAACCUAGAUGAUUCGAGGUGUUCUUAUGAAAAAAGUAGCAUGACAAACAAAAUAUAGCAUCUUUGUCACAAGAAUACUCUAACCAAGAAAGAUAUAAUUCAAACCAAGAAGCUUGAAAACGACAAGGAUGAUCAUCAUCUGAUAGAGGACACGUCUUAAGAAUGAGUUGACAUGGCCCACUUUUGAGAUAAGCACGACGAAUUUCAUCCCUUUGAUUGAUAGGAAAUUCCCAUAUCAUUGGUCAUAAUCCAGGGUCAGGUUCUAUAUGAAAAGCAUCAAUUCUUCAAGAUUGAGCCUUGGACGCUUUGAUUCGCACUGCUUUUGUUCAUGAGUUGAAGUAUUAAGGUUUGGUGGCUCAAGCAUAGGAGAAUCAUUUGAGCGAUCUACCUCUUUUCUUUUAAAAAAAAUUGUCAAUUGUUUUCAACUUAUUCAUAUUUUAAUCAAAUCUGAAAAAAAAAACAAUGUAGUCAAUAUUCAAUAUUUUUAUUUAUUUAUAUUUAAACUUAAAAUAUUAAAUAUAAAACUAUAAUGCAUAAAAUGUAAAUAGUUAAAUAUGAUAUACAGGAUUUCACAGAAUGGUUAAAUGUAUAAAUAGUUAAAUAAUAUAAAUAAAAGGAAGAAGAUUAAAAACAAAAACUUUUCCUCCUCUUAAUUUUACACAAUGGUGGUGGGUGAUCUCUAUCUUUCUUUGUCCAAACUCACAAGCUCAUAAAUCUCUUUUUAAGAAUAAAGUGUGUUUUAAUGGUAAGUUACAAGAAAGAGUAAAGUAAAAAUAAAAAGAUAAAAGAGAAGAGAAAAGAAAAAAGAGAAAUAGGUGUAGAGAAACUUAAAUUAGGGUAAAGUUAAAGCAGGUUUGUGAGGUUGUUUGAUUUUUUUAUUUAUAUUAAUUAUUAAAUAAAAAAUUUAUUUUGAGUGAGCCAUUAAUAAUAUAUAAUAAAUAAAAUUUUCCAAAAAUUUUUGAGGGCCUAUUGAUGAAAUAUAUAUAAAAAAUAAAUAUUUUUAAAACCCAUUGUUGGCUUACCCUCCGCCCCCGAAUCAAAACCGCACUUAAGUUUGUCCGUAAAUCAUCAUAAUAACGUAGACCGCCACUCUUAAUGACGUCCACAUCUGGUUCAAGCCACUUAAGCGUACAAACUUGAACCUCAUGCGCACCUCACGAUCCAUGUCCAGAUGAUUCAAAACCGAUCGGCACACUCCAAGGCAAAAUCAAACUCUUACCCAAUAGAAAAUCUAUUGUGAUUAAAACUCAUAAUUAUAAAUAAUAAAUGAAUAUUUGUAUUGUAAAAAAAAUAAUAGAAACAGGAAAGAAAGAGAGAUGAGAGAAUGUUUUUUAUGUACUACUGAAGUAAUGUUUGGUAUGAAAAAUAUCUAGGUGGGGUGACCUAUGAAAUUGCUUACAAAUCAAUACUUAUUACUGUCGUAACGUGCGGGUCUGAGAACCCAACCGCUAGACGUCGACGAAAAUAAAGUGGUUUAGGAGUCGCCACCAAUCGUCUUAUAUCUAGGUGCGAUUGGACACCUAUUAACCCGAUUCUAAUCAACAAAGUCCUAAUUUAAGUUUAGAACGAGAACCGGUCCACGUUUUUUAGAGAAAAGUUCGGGAGUGCGGUUUCGCACGGAGAAGGGUUAGCACCUUCGUGAUGCCCGUUUCACGAACGGUACCAUUUAAUCUUAAGUUAUCCUAUUGUACCUUAAUCCUUGCUUAUUAGUUAAUUUUUUUUAUUAUGUUAGUUGAUUGAGUCUUUUAUUUGGUUUCACGGAUGCACGUGAUGUAAUCGUAAAAUGAUGUUAUGAUUUAUUCAAUUUUAAAUGAUGGAGUCGACAAUCUUUUAUUGGAAAAAUCACUCAAAGAUCAUCCCAACGCUUUGGUGAAGUCUCGAAAUUUUUCUCACCUAGAGAUAUCCCCAGAAAAACUAGUCUCUACAAGCUCCUCGGGGAAAUCCCAUCAUCGAAAAUUCCGCACCAUUUGCAAGAUAAAUGUGGCAUGCUAUGACAGGAUAAAAUGAUGAUGUCUACAUGCACGCGUUUAUUGACUUAGGUGGUUCAUAAUUCAUUCAAUUAUGUGUUUAAUAAUUUAUCACCUUGUUUAUAUGUUUAUUACUAUUUGUUAUUUUUUUAUAGAUUAUUUAUUUAUUUAUAUUUAUUUUUUGUUUUCUAUUUAAAUCCAUAUCCUUUAAUUAACGUUAUUGAUUAAUAUUUUACUUGAUUAUAUAGCUUAUAAAUAAUUAAUUAAUUUUUAAACGAUUAAAUUACCUUUAUUUAGUAAUAUUUAUUUAAGCUAAUUAACUAAUUAUAUUAAUUUAAAUUCACAUGCAACAUUAUAUAAAUUUUCUUUUAUAUAUAUUAUUUUUGACAACGAUUAUUUGAUUUAACAGGUAUUGAAGUUUAGAGUUCGGAUUUAUCCCGACGCUUCGGUGAAAAUCCGUCUCGAACUUCACUCCCAAAAAAAUCCACUCAAAAGAGGCAACUCUUUGUCCUUUUUAGGUAGUAGUACUCAAAUAACCGUUCCAUUAUAUUAUUAUUAUUUUUUAUGUUUGUAUCAUGAGUUAUUUAUUAUUAUUAUUUUUUUAUUUUGAUUAAAAUAAACAUUCAUAUUAUAUAUAUAAUUAUAUAUAAAUAACCUUUCCUAAUAUGGUUUAAAUUAUAACAAAAAAAUAUAUUUUAUUUAACAAAAUGGGUUAGACCCAAAAGCAAUUGAAACAAGCCCAUAUCAAAGAGAAGGAUUAUACCUUUCUAGGCUCAGUUUAGUCCAGCUCAAUGGCCCACAGAAGCCCAAAUCUGCUACACCCGAUCUGCUUCUUGAGGCCCACAAGGCAGAAUUCGAAACGCGAUGUUUGGUACCUGGGACACUACUCUAUACGGCACCGUUUAGCCUUGAACCUUUUAGUUCCCCGCUCCCUGAAAUGGUGCCUUUUGGUUCUCUUACACCUAGAUAUAAAAACCUUUUUUUUGGCCUUUUCUAUUAUUUUCACCUUCCUCUUUCUCUCUCUAGCCCAAAUGCUCUCCUUUCUCUCUAGCUUCAAGCCACGGCCCCCCCUUUCACCGUCGGCCUUCACUCUCCCUUACGUCGGUGGCUUGCCUUUAACCGGCGGCCCAGGUGUUCUUCCCCUCUCUACCGGUGCUGAUCUGGCCUUACCUCACUGCCGGUGCCGUUCGGAUCUUUUCUUUUCGUCGGUCGGUGGCAAUAAGAUCAAACCAAAAGUCUUCUCUCUCUCUUCUUCGUUACCUUACCGUCGGCCAGAUCUCACUAUCCCCUAAAUAUACCCAAAUCAAAAGUGCAACCCAAAUCACCCUCCGCUUUCCUCUUUUUUUUUUUUAUAUCUUAUGUAUUUUUUGUUUUUUUGUUGUUGAUUGUGGUUAGGUAGUUGGCUGCUAGAUCUUAGGAUUUCGGAUUUGAUUUGGGGUUUUUUUUUUGUUGCUAUUUGAAAAAUAAAAAAUUUCUAGUUGGAUUUAGACUUUUUUUUUGAAACGUUUUCUCUCUCAUUUUUUUUUGGUUUGAAACUCUCUUUUUGUUUUUGAAUCUCAGUUUUCUUGCCCCUCAAAAUGCUCUUUCCGGAUCGGUUUGAAACCCCCCCUUUUAAGAACUGGAUUGUCUAAAAAUUUGGACAAUCCAAAGGUGAAAUCAUGCUCUUCUGAGCAUGAUUUCACUAGGCUCUGGCAAACAGGAAGGAUUGGUAGCCAGAGGUGACCACUCUUCCCCAAAUUCGGCUACCUUUCAAGGGUAUUAAUGCCCUGUAAUGAUGAACUGGAGGAGGGGCUGAGCACACGCUCAGUCCCUUCCUGUUCAUUCAUCAUCAUUUUUUUAUUUUUUUAUUAUUUUUAUCUAUUUUUUAUUAAUUUUUUUAAUUUUUUUAAUUUUUUUAUUUUUGAGCUUUUUUUUCUUUUUUUUUAUUCUUUUGAAGUAGGUGUUUACAGUUGUCCCUCUUUGUACAUUCUUGAGAAUCAAGAAUAGUGCAAAGACAUAGACACCGUAUUCAAUUCAUCUUGGGGCAAGUUUGAUUCUAGCAAUUUGAUCUAGACUUGACCUAUCUCAAAACAAGUUUGAUUAAAAACAUGAAGUAUCUAGGCUUGACCUGGGUUCGUAAAAGAAUGAGAUUUCUAAGUUUGACUUAAGCACAACCCGUCUCAAAAUAUGUUCAAUUAAGAAAAAACAAAAAUUUCUAUAUUUGAUCUAGACUCGACCUAUCUCCAAACAGGUUCGACUUAAAAAUUGAAAUUCCUAGACUUGAUCUAGGCUCGACCUAUCUCACAACAGGUUCGACUUAAAGAAUUGAAAUUCCUAGACUUGACUUAGGCUCGACCUAUCUCACAAAACAGGUUCAAUUUUAAAAAAUGAAAUUCCUAAACUUAAUAUAAGCUCGACUUAUUUCACAACAGGUUCGAUUUAAAAAUUAAAAUUCCUAGACUUUAUCUAGGAUCAACCUAUCUCACAACAGGUUUAAUUUAAAAUUGAAAUUCCUAAACUUAAUCUAGGCUUGACCUAUCUCACAACAGGUUCGAUUUAAACAAAAUUGAAAUUCCUAAACUUAAUUUAGGCUCGACCUAUCUCAAAACAAAACAGGCUCGAUUUUAAAAAAAAAAUUAAAAUUCUUAGACUUGACUUAGGCUCGACCCAUCUCACAAAUAGGUUUGAUUUAAAAAUUAAAAUUCCUAGACUUGAUCUAGGCUCGACCUAUCUCACAACAGGUUCGAUUUAAAAAUUGAAAUUCCUAGACUUAAUCUAGGUUUGACCUAUCUCACAACAGGUUCGAUUUAAACAAAAUUGAAAUUCCUAAACUUAAUUUAGGUUAGACCUAUAUCAAAACAGGUUCGACUUAAUUCAUAAAUGCCAACUUAAUUGGAUUAACUUCACAAUGAAAAACUCAAAUCUUUUUAUCAAAGUUCUACAACCUCAACAUUUUAGGUCAGGUGGAUUCCUACUUUCAAAGCUUGGGACAUGAAUUAAUUUGGAUUAUUGUUUUCAAAAUGACCGUGUGUAUGGCUAGGCAUGUAUGCAUGAUUGAAAUGAUGAAAUGUUUUCAUGUUUAUGAUUCAUUAAGGUUCCAAGACCUUUGUUUCAUCUAAUUUUUCACUGCAGCUUUCAAUGACUUUCGUCUUGUGCCUUACUUCAUUGGCUGACAUUCUUGAUUUUCCUUAGGCGUGCCCCCUUCUUUUUGACAUUUGACUCUCUUUUUUUUUGCUCAAGUUUAAAGCUCUGCCAUUCCUUUUUCUCAUCAUCAAGUCUUUUGUUGAACAAUGAACGUAAUUUUUUUGCUUAAUUAGUUUAUUUCUUUCACCAGUCAUCAUUCAUUUCUAUGACAAUCAUUAUGUGAAAUCAUGGGAUGGUAAAGAAUAAAAGGGUUCAAAUAAAAAGGCGAAGGAGAAUUUCAUAUAUGACAAAUCAAAUAAUAUAAAGCAAAGAGAAUUUAUAGAGCAAACAUUAGAUCUUAAGUAAUGAACACUCAGACCAUUCUGAGCAAAUAAUCUGAUGUUCGACUUCAAGAAUUGUCCUUAAUUGAUGCUUUGAGCAAAUCUGUAGGUUACAAACUCCCUCACUUCCCCUGUUUUGUGAAAUUGUGGAGCUCCAUUCAUAGUGUACUUCUACCUCGAUCUUGUGUUCCAUUCGGGCUGACAUCUUUAAGUUUCAUUCUAACUUUCUGCUUUUCGACCUCAAGCUGCCUUUUUCGGGUUUUCAGCAUGAGCCUCCUCCUUUAGGUACGAGUUGCCCUUUUCGGGUUUUCAACCAUGGACCCCCUCCGUUUUUUUUUUUUUAAGUAUAGUACUUUUUCAUCGCAUCUGCGUUUAUCGAGUUAGGAAAAUCCUCCCCAUCCAUGUUAGCCAAAAUCAAAGCUUCUCUUGAAAAAGCCUUCUUUACCACAUAUGGUCCUUCCCAAUUUGGCAUUCACUUUUCCCGAAAAUCCAUCUGAUUAGGGAGUAUUCUCUUGAGAACUAGCUCUCCUUCUCGCAACUGCCUUGGACGAACUUUUUUCUCGUAUGCUUGCAUCAUCCUUCGUUGGUACAUCUGGCCGUGACAAAGGGCUGCGAGCCUUUUCUCUUCAAUUAAAUUUAAUUGCUCGUAGCGGGAGUGGACCCACUCAGCAUCUUUUAAUUUUGUUUCCAUCAACACCCUCAAUGAUGGGAUUUCUACUUCAACAGGUAGAACUGCUUCUGUACCAUAUACUAAUGAGUACGGAGUUGCCCCGGUGGAGGUACGCACUGAAGUUCGAUAUGCAUGUAAGGCAAAAGGAAGUUUCUCAUGCCAGUCUUUAUAAACUUCAGUCAUCUUUUCAACAAUCUUUUUGAUAUUUUUGUUGGUUGCCUCUACCACUCCGUUCAUCUUCGGACGGUAAGUUGUUGAGUUAUAAUGCUUGAUCUUGAAUUUAGCGCAAACCUCCUUCACCAUCGCACCAUUCAAAUUGCUUGCAUUAUCGGUAAUGAUAUUUUUCGGCAGCUCAUACCGGCAUAUGAUCUCCCUUUAGAUGAAUCUGCACACCACCUUUUGUGUCACAUUGGCAUAGUAAGCUGCUUCUACCUAUUUCAUGAAAUAAUCAAUGGCCACUAAUAUGAAUCGAUGUCCAUUAGAAGCUUUUGGCGUAAUAAGCCCAAUCACAUCCAUUCCCCACAUUGAAAAUAGCCAAGGUGUUGUGAAAACAUGCAAUGGGGCUGGUGGAGCAUGGAUUCUAUCUGCAUAAACUUGACACUUGUGGCAUUUUCGAGCAAAGUUUAUGCAGUCUGAUUCCAACGUCAACCAAUAAUAACCAACUCUCAUAAUUUGUCUAGCCAAUAUAUGUCCAUUAGCAUGAGCUCCAUAAGUUCCUUCGUGAACUUCUUUCAUUAUUUUGUUGGCUUCCGUAACAUCCACACAUCUCAAAAGUACUUGAUCUCGACUUCUUUUGUAGAGCACUUCUCCGCUAAAGAAGAAACCCAUUACUAAUUUUCCCAGAGUUCGCUUGUCAUUGUCCGUGACAUUCUCAGGAUAUACCUGGUGCUUGAUGUAUUGCAUGAUAUCAUGAUACCACGGCUUACCGUCAACCUCUUCCUUAACAUUCAAACAGUGUACGGAGACUUCACGGACUUCUAAAUCAAAAGGGCGUACAUCAGUCGCUUUUUUUAUUUUGAACAUUGCUGCGAGAGUGGCCAAAGCAUCAGCAAGCUAAUUUUCUUCUCGAGGCAAAUGGUCGAAGCUGAUUUUCUUGAACUGUUUGCUUAGUUUUGUAACCAACUUUUUAUAUGAAACUAGUUUAGAAUCUCUAGUUUCCCAUUCGCCUUUCAUUUGACAUAUCACCAAAGUCGAAUCUCCGUAAACCUCUAUCGCGCCGACCUUCAUCUCGAUUGCUGCUUGUAAUCCCAUUACCAACGCCUCAUAUUCCACUAUAUUAUUAGUACAAUUGAUAUUCAAUCUCGCCGUAGCUGGAUAGUACUUUUCAUUUGGAGAAAUCAACACUGCCCCAAUUCUGUGCCCCAAAGCAUUGGAUGUUAUAUCAAAAUACAUCUUCCAUGGAUUAAGUUCAUUGGGACUGUCUUUUUCUAUUUGCAAGACGGCCAUCAAAUCUUUAUCUGGAAAAUCGAAUCUUACAGGUUCAUAAUCCUCAUUAGUUUGAUCUGCGAGGAAAUCAGCAAUGACGCUCCCUUUGAUUGAUUUUUGGGAUACGUACACAAUAUCAUACUCAGACAAUAGCACUUGCCAUCGAGCUAUUCUCCCAAACAGAAAGGAUUUUUCAAAAAUAUACUUGAUGGGAUCUAAUUUUGCCACCAACCAUGUUGUGUGAUACAACAUAUAUUGUCGAAGCCUUUAGGAGGUCCAUGCUAGCGCACAACACAUCUUUUCGAGCACAAAGUAUUUGGACUCAUACUCCGUAAAUUUCUUGCUUAAAUAAUAUAUGGCCUGUUCUUUCUUCCCAGUUUCAUCAUGUUGUCUUAGUACACAUCCCAUAGAAUUCUUGUUCACAGUCAAAUAUAAAAUCAGAGGUUUUUCAACAGUCGAUGGCACUAACAUCGAUGGAUUUGUGAGAUAUUCUUUGAUUUUAUCAAAGGCUAUUUGACAUUCUUCAUUCCACUCUCUUGGGUCUCAUUUUCGAAGUAGCUUGAAGAUUAGAUCACAUUUACAAGUGAGCUGGGAUAUAAAUCGAGCAAUGUAAUUCAACUUCCCUAAAAAUCCUCUCACUUCUUUUUACGUUUUAGGAGGUGGUAGCUCUUGAAUAGCUCGUAUCUUAUCCGGGUCCACUUUAAUUCCCUUUUCACUUACUAUGAACCCCAAUAAUUUUCCAGAAGUAACACCGAAAGUACAUUUUGCAAGAUUCAACUUGAGCUGAAACUUUCAUAAUCUCUCGAACAGCUUUUUGAGAUUGACAGUAUGAUCUCUUUCUGUGUGAGAUUUUGCAAUCAUGCCAUCCACAUAUACCUCUAUUUCUUUAUGCAUCAUAUCGUGAAACAAAGCUACCAUUGUCCUAUGGUAGGUGGCAUAUGCAUUCUUCAAUCCAAAUGGCAUUACUUUGUAACAAAACGUUCCCCACAUGGUUACGAAUGUUGUUUUUUCCAUAUCUUUGGGUGCCAUGUUGAUCUGAUUGUAAACAGAAAAAUCAUCCAUAAAUGAGAAUAAAGCAUGCUUUGCUGUGUUGUCCAUAAGAGUAUCAAUAUGUGGCAAAGGGAAGCUAUCCUUCAAACUCGCUCUGUUCAAAUCCUUGUAAUCGACGCACAUUCAAACUUUUCCAUCCUUCUUAGGAACUGAAACUAUAUUAGCCACUCAUUCAGGAUACUUAGCCACCUCUAAGAAUCCAGCAUCAAAUUGCUUCUUUACUUCUUCUUUAAUCUUUAGCAACAUUUCUGGCUUCAUCAUUCUCAACUUCUAUUUAAUAGGCUUGUAAUCCAGUCUUAAAGGUAACUUGUGGACAACAAUGUCAGUAUUAAGACUUGGCAUGUCCUGAUAUGACCAAGCAAACACAUCCACAUAUUCACGAAGCAGUUCUUCUAGCUUCUGUCGUUCAUUAGAUGACAGCGAGGUGCCAAUCUUAACCUCUUUCUUUUAUUUCCCGUUUCCAAGAUUAAUCAUUUCUGUGAGUUCUUGAUAAGGUAAGAUCUCCCUUUCCUCCUAUUCCAACAUUCUCGAUUAAUCAAGGGGUAAGCCAUAGUCAUCCACCUCCUCUUCACUUUUCAAUUCAUCAAUGUUUGAAACUGUCUCGAAAUUGAAAUUCAAAUUGUUCUCCAGAUUGUCUUUGUGUUCAUUAUUUAAAGAUCUGCAAAUAGGUAAAAUUGAACAUGUGUAUGGGCAAGUAUUUAUUGGCUAAAAGAAUAGAUGAAAGGAAAUAUGCAAAAAGGUUGAUGAAUUAUGAAACACAUUAUGCAUUGUUAUUUAUUUAAAUGAUGAAGGUAACAGAAAGCCCUACUUAAAUAAAAAAUUACUCUUAACACCCUUAGGCAUAGGCAUUUAGAGAGAAUUAUUCAUUACAUUUCCAAAGGCUUAAAGAUGAUGGGCAAUUCCGUAGCUGUCCAAUUGGUUAACUCCUCUCCUAGUAGUACUUGAUACACCACAGGGACCUUCUCGUUAGAUUCUUCGUCUUUGAUCAUAUGGACUGACAACUCAUCAAACAUCUGCAGAACCUGAUUGACCUUUGUUGGUGCUUCGGGAUGAAUGAAACCUGCAGAGCGAAAAGUCUCAUAUAAGUACGGAAUUGCCUGUUUCCCAAAUUCUUCUUUCUUUCCCUCAAGCUGAGCCAUCCUUUUAAUCUUCUUUUGAGCUGCCAAUUUCCUUAUCUCUUCUUUGGUAGGUUUGUAUCCCAAACCAAACCUUUCUUCAUUCUUUAUUGGAGUCAAAGGACGGUUAAUUCCUUGUAAAUUCUUGCCUAGCCCCAAACCUACACGACAUCCUUUUCCCACUGUCUGCUUUACCCCCAUUUCAGUUGCUACUAACAAACAAGGAGUUGGUAUCAUUUUUCCUUUCCCCACAUAAGUAGCAUUAACAAAUUCAAAAGAUCUAAAUGAGCACUCUAGGACUUCUUUUGUUGCCUCUACAUAGGGGGUAGAUGAAGGUUGAAUGGCCAGUAUGUCUUCCUCCGUAAAUACACUUAUCAGUUAGCCUUCAACUAUAAAUUUAACCUUUUGAUGAAGGGAAGAGGGUAUGGCUCCCGCCAUAUGAAUCCAUGGACGCCCUAGUAAGCAAUUGUAGGAUGGGGCGAUGUCCAUGACUUGAAAUUGGACCUAAAAAAUGUAAGGGCCAAUUUUUAUCGGCAGUUCAAUGUAUCCUACCACAUCUCUUAUGAUUCCGCCAAAAGCCCUUACAACCAUGUGGCUGGUUCUCAUAUAGGACAGGUCUACAGGUAACUUGGUUAAGGUAGAGCGAGGCAUGACAUUUAAAGCUGAGCCAUUAUCGAUCAAGACCCUAGGUACGACGUGGUCCUUGCAUUGGAUGGUAAUGUGCAGAGCUUUAUUACUUCCUCGACCACCCGAUGGGAUUUCCUCAUCAUUAAAGGCCAUGAAGUUCCCCACUGUAAUAUUUCCCACAAUAUGAUCCAACUUUUCCACCGAUAUAUCAUGAGCCAUGUAAGCUUGAUUUAGGACCUUAAGUAGCGCAUUCCUGUGUGCUUCUGAAUUCAGAAGCAAAGAUAAUAGCGAGAUACGAGCAGACAUUCUCGUUAAUUGUUCCACCACACUAUACUCACUGUGGUUUAAUAAAUUUGAGAAAUUCACCUGCUUUUUUUUUCGUAACAUGCCUUUUAAUCUCGUUGUUCAGAGCAAUUGGAGAUUCGGUGGUUUAGUCCUUGAGAAAGGUACUUGCUUCUUUCAAAUCUUUUCCUUGUUUGGAUUUUCCUUUUUCAAUCCUUUCUGCUAUUUCAGGAGAAUAACAUCGUCCACUUCGCGUUAUUCCUCCCACACUAGUCAAAUCUAUAGAAGAUACUUGCGAAGUAAGGGGGGCCAUACCUAAGAUAUUACAUUCGUAAUUCUAGGGAACAACCUUCUCACUCUUGUACUGGAACGGGCUAGAAAUUUCAAUAGUGAUGCCAUUUUCGACAACAGUAGAGGAUGUAUCAUUCGUCGGACUCCUAUUUUUUUCAUAAAAGAUGGUCAGAGGUUUAGGUUUAUUCACCCCAGAUGAACUUGAUGCUACUUCAACUAGGGUAUCUUCAUUUAUGGUUCUGACUAAAUCCUCUUCGCCUUCUUCAUAAAAUUCAAUUACCGACAAAUCCAUCAAUUCUUGCAGCUUACAACGAAAGCUAUCAUAAUUUCGAAUGAAAUGUCCAACAAUCCCCAUAUGAAAUUUGCAAGAAUGGGUGAGAUCAUACCCUACUUUUUUUAUGUCUAUCGAUUCUGGAGUGAUGGCUUUUAUUUUGGACAACGCCUUAAACACUCUAUCCAUCGACGUUUGAAUCUUGUCGACAUUCUUUUUCACCCUUCGAAUCAUCCUUUCAUGUAUUGCAUUCACUGUCGGACUUUCAUGGUUAGGCAAGGGAUUCCCAUCAACAUUUGAAUUAUCUUUUUUAGCAAAAUUUAAAAGUCCUGUCUUAAUGAGCGAUUGGACCUUAUGUUUUAAUGCAGUGCAAUUCUUCAUGGAGUGUCCUUCAAUUCCAAAAUGGUAAUCACAAUGCGCAUUCGGAUCAUACCAUUUUGGAAAAAGAGGUCGGAGUGGUUCCAAAGGGGUUCGAGCAAUGAGUCGAUUUUCUAUGAGUUGUGGUAACAAUGUAGUGUAAGGAAUUGGGAUAGGAUCAAACUUAGGUUUUUUUUGGGUAGUUUUAGGUCCUCUUUGACCAUUGCCAAAAUUAUUGGUUGAAGCUACCGGUCUUGGUGGUGGAGCUUGUGGGAGAACAUUGGUCUGAAACAUUGGUUGUGAGGCAGGUUGGUACACAUAUGGGUUUUGUGCGAUGUUGCCUAUGUUCGGAUAAAAGGGUUGGUAUGGGGGGUACGGGUAAUAUGGGUUAAAGUUGUGGGUCUGUUGUCUGUCAUGGGCCACUACUUGUACAUCUCUUUCUUUUCUCUUGAGCAAACUCCAUUUCUUUGAGCCAGCAACCUCCUACCCUUCAAUUUUUCCACUUUUGAUAGCUCAUUCUAUUAUUUCUCCAUAUAAGACCAAAUUCGUAAAGUUUUUCGUGGCGUUACCGAUCAAGCGUUCGUAAAAUAGAGCUCGAAGUGUGUUUAUGAACAACACAGUCAUUUCUUUAUCAGUGAGAGGUGGCUGAACUUGCGCUGUUGUAUCCCUCCACCUUUGGGCAUAUUCCUUGAAGCUUUCACUUUGCUUCUUUUUCAUAGUCUGCAAUGACAACCGAUCAGGGGCUAAUUCAGCCACAUGUUUGUAUUGGGCUAUGAAGGCUCUUGCUAGAUCUUUCUAAGUCUUAAUAUGAUUUCGAUCUAGCUGUACGUACCACCGAGCAGCUGACCCAGUCAAGCUAUCUUGAAAAAAAUGGAUUAAUAGCUUGUCAUCAUGGGAUUGUGCAGCCAUCUUUCGAUAAUACAUAGUAAUAUGUGUCAUGAGACACUUUGUUCCGUCAUAUUUUUCAAAUUCUGAAACUUUGAACUUGGCCGAGAUCAAUACAUCAGGCACUAAGCAUAGUUCGGUUGCAUCCAUGGUAUCGAACCUAUCAACUCCUUCGAUAGCACGAAAAUGUUCUUUUAGUAAAUCGUACUUUUUCAUAUCUUUUUCAUUUUUUCCUGUUUGUGAUGAGUCCUUUCUUAGUUUCUCUUACUCUUUUGGAUCAUCUAAAUCUGGGACGUGUAUUGGUUCAGUAGAAUUUAUCCCAGAAUACAGCUUAAAUUGCCCAUGAGUCGAUUGAUGGCCCAUUGAAGGUGGUGUAUUGUAACAAACGGAUGGCAUCACUUAAGGGUGGACCCUUUGAGAGGUUUGGGCAUGUGAUGGAGUGAACUUUGGGGGAUAAGGUGGAUCAUCCCUUUGGUUUUCAAUGUCUUGAGCAGGUGGGUUUUCUGACGGAGCUGACUCUUCCGUAACUCUUUUUCCUUUACUUAAGCUUGUCAUCAAUUCCAUCAUCUUUGCUAACUGUUCUCUCAUUUCUUCUUGAGCUCUUUCCAUUCUAUCCAUUCGCUCUCUUUGUUCUUCUUCCAUGAUCCUUGCUCGUCGACGCAUAUUAUAGACACGUUGGUUACUUGGCUUAAGUGGUUGAGCUAUUUUUGGAACCUUAUUGUAAUCAUAAACAUGAAUUAGAUGCAUAUUCGAUGCAUGAAUGAAAUGAAGAACUGAACCCAUUAUCUUUAUUUUUAGGUGAAAAUACUUAUUGUCAUGAAAUGAUGAUUUAUGCAUGUAUGAAUGAUUAUGUACUAAAAGUAUUCGUCACAUGACACCCAACAACAAAGUCAUCCAUUGCAUAAGAUAUUGUCUUUGAUUACAACUCAGGAGUCAUCUAGAAAUAUUCACCAAUUUUAUUAUAAUGGCUAUACACCUCAUCUAAAUACUUAAUCAACUGUUGCUCUUGUUUUCCAACUAGAAAGACCUGGCUCCUUAAUAUGUCCUUCUUCUAAGCCAUGUUUCUUGCCUUGUAAGCCACCUCCCUCAUUUGCCAAACCAAGUAAUCCAUCUGGUCGUGUUUCUCUAUAUAAGCUUAUUUGUAGGAUUCACCCCACUCUUGAAUUCUGGUGCUCUGUUGCUUGAGGCGUUCAUAUUCUUGUUGAUAAGUCGUCAUGACCCCUUCGAGCUCUUCAUACUCCUAUCUUAGUAAUUGGAUAGACUCUUAUUGGAAUCGCACUUGAUUUCUUAGUCCAUCAUUAUACGCUUGAAGUUCAUUGUCUCUAUUUUCUCUCACUUGUAUUUCCCUUUGAAGUUCACUGGUUAUGGCAGAAAACUUAUUAUUCAAACUCUUAUACUUCCCUUCUCAAUUACUAUCUAUUUUUCGGACCUUAUUUCUUUGUUCAAUUACUUCUUUAUUCAUCUUCUCACACUCUUUUUGGAGGUCUUCAUACCGUUGCUUCCAACUGGCAUUUUUAGCUUCGAACUUUUUUCGAGCCAACUCACUCUCGAGCAAAGCAUUUCGUGAUUCCGGAUCAACUGGGCCAUGCAGUGCAUCUUCCUUCGGAUAUACCACAUCCUUAACUUGUUGGUCGUGCCAUAUCUGAUAUCUGGUAGUUACUUCAUCAGUGUAUCUCCCUUGGUCGACUCGGCUGGUUUGCUUUUAAGCUCGCGCAAUCUUCUCAAUCUUUUUCAGAAAACCCGGCUCUCCAUAAGCAAACUCCAAAGUAUUAAAUCGGUGUGUCAUCGGCACAAACUGCCCUGACCCAAAUUGUCUUCUCACCAUGAUUAGGGCGUAGCUGAUUACUCCCCAUGGCCCCAUUAACGGCACCCAAGGUUCAUUUUCGCAUUUGUACAAGACUGGGCGAUGAGGCAUCCACGGAGCUCUCCACGUUACUUCCACACUUAUGAGUUUUUGAAGCCCUAAGAUCCAUUGUUCCUUAGUCUUAUUUUUGAGCCAUUCACUCUCACAAAAUUCUCUGAUAGGGGCACUUUGCGGAUGAAAGAGCUUUCUAAACUUAUCGACCUUGCAUUCAAAGUGGCUUACUAUCUAGAUGGAAAGAAGCUGUGCACAUCCCAUAAAUCGUCCUUCCCCCUUUCUUCGACAAUAAUUCAGUGAUAUGAGAGUUUUUACUAGAAUAAAAGGUAAAGGGUUGGCCUUGUUGAUGACUUGCUCGAAGAAAUCUAUAAUUUUGACCUCUAUAUGUCCCAAGACUUUGGGAAAGAUCACUAGCCCAUAAAUUCCCAAGGCCAUCAUAAGCUGUCUUUACUCGGUGUCCCGAUGCUUCAUGAUAUAACUACGUAGAAAACUCCAUGAGAUACAUUCAUUGUCCCCCUUUUUCCUUAGGUUUUGGUCAACUUCCGCCGGGAUAAUACCCAUCAUCUUGGCUAACUUUCGCCUGUGUCCGAUCUUUUGUCCUCUCCAAUAUAUCUUGUUCGGAUUAUCAAGAUCGAUUUGUAGGAAAGUCGAGUACUCUUCGAUUGUGGGGACCAUAUCCACUUCAUUAAACACGAAGCACCUGUACGACGAUCCCAAAAUUGCACAAUGGCCUUCAACAACUGUUCAUCAAUUGGACUUUAAGUAGCCGGGCUAUGUGGCUAUAUUUCUUAUCGAAACUUGCUCAAGUGGUGGCCCUCCAUCUAUCCCAUAUGUCAAGCAAAUCGGUGAAGUCAUUCUGUUUAAAAUCAAUGUGGACCCUAUCAGGUAGUGAUGAGAAGUGAUCUUUUGACAAGCAAUCUCCCUCACUUUGUUGGGCAUUCGCCAUGUGCUGAGUCACUUCGUAUAUUCCAUCGUAACUUGAGGAUGGCCAUGUUGACUCCAUGUAUGCAAUUGGAUCUACUCUGUCAAUGGUUGUCAGGUGACAAAUACUUUUCCUAUAUGCAAAAUUAUGAUGCAAAUAUGCAUAUGACAAAAAGCUUAAGUUAGUACCGUAAACAAGAAUUCCAAAAGAUGAAUAAUUAAUAACAUGAUACCUUUAUUACUUCGUGGAGAAGAAUUUAGGAUAAGGGGAUUAUGAAAAUUCUUUCAUGUGUACCUAGUCAAAAGGUAUAUUAUCACGGGUGAAGCUCUACCUAAGUAAAGGCAACUCUCGGUAUUUUACAUGCUGAGUUUGGGUUGAAAAUGGAGCUAAAGGUUCUCAAAUCGCUCCUUACUGUCGUCCACACGGACUAGUAAGGUAUCCCGGUUCUCACCCAUUACAAGCUUCAAACGGAUUAGGUUCGAUCUUAGUGGGAGUCUUCACUAGCCCAUGCGAAGGUUAUCACCUCACAAAAGCAUAGCUACUUAACUCCCUUCUAAUUAAAGACAAAGCUCGGGUGGAAGGCUUAUGCAUGAAUGCAAGAUGUGUAGUGUGUGAGAAAGAAUAUACUGACCUUGGACCAAUAAUUUCACACUCCCCUUAUCCUAAAUUUCCCGCAAUUAUUAAAAACAAUGAAGUAAUAAUAGCAAAAUAAAUGAAUGCAUUAAACAAAAAUAUGCAAAAUUGAUGCUAGGGAAGACAACAAAUUAUUUAAGGCUUAAGAUAACUUAUGAUUAAUUAAUAGUUUGACUCUCGAUGUCCCUAAUGGAGUCGCCAUCUGUCGUAACGUGUGGGUUCGGGAACCCAACCGCUAGACGUCGACGAAAAUAAAGUGGUUUAGGAGUCGCCACCAAUCGUCUUGUAUCUAGGUGCGAUUGGACACCUAUUAACCCGAUUCUAAUCAACAAAGUCCUAAAUUAAGUUUAGAACGAGAACUGGUCCACAUUUUCCAGAGAAAGGUUCGAGAGUGCGGUUACGCACGGAGAAGGGUUAGCACCUCUGUGACGCUCGUUCCACGAACGGUACCAUUUAAUCUUAAGUUAUCCUAUUGUACCUUAAUCCUUGCUUAUUAGUUAAUUUUUUUAUUAUGUUAGUUGAUUGAGUCUUUUAUUUGGUUUCACGGAUGCACAUGAUGCAAUCGUAAAAUGAUGUUAUGAUUUAUUCAAUUUUAAAUGAUGGGGUCGACAAUCUUUUAUUGAAAAAAUCAUUCAAAGACCAUCCCAACGCUUUGGUGAAGUUUCGAAAUUUUCCUCACCUAGAGAUAUCCCUGGAAGAACUCGUCUCUACAAGCUCAUCAAGGAAAUCCCAUCAUCGGAACUCCCGCACCAUUUGCAAGAUAAAUGUGGCAUGCUAUGACAGGAUAAAAUGAUGAUGUCUACAUGCACGCGUUUAUUGACUUAGGUGGUUCAUAAUUCAUCCAAUUAUGUGUUUAAUAAUUUAUCACCUUGUUUAUAUGUUUAUUACUAUUUGUUAUUUUUUUAUGGAUUAUUUAUUUAUUUAUAUAUAUAUAUAUUGUUUUCUAUUUAAAUCCAUAUCCUUUAAUUAACGUUAUUGAUUAAUAUUUUACUUGAUUAUAUAGCUUAUAAAUAAUUAAUUAAUUUUUAAACGAUUAAAUUACCUUUAUUUAGUAAUAUUUAUUUAAGCUAAUUAACUAAUUAUAUUAAUUUAAAUUCACAUGCAACAUUAUAUAAAUUUUCUUUUAUAUAUAUUAUUUUGACAACAAUUAUUUGAUUUAACGGGUAUUGAAGUUUAGAGUUCGGAUUUAUCCCGACGCUUCGGUGAAAAUCAAUCUCAAACUUCACUCCCAAAAAAAUCUACUUAAAAGAGGCAACUAUUUGCCCUUUUUAGGUAGUAGUAUUCAAAUAACAUUUCCAUUAUAUUAAUUUUUUUUUUUUAUGUUUGUAUCAUGAGUUAUUUAUUUUUUUUUUUUUGAUUAAAAUAAACAUUCAUAUUAUAUAUAUAAUUAUAUAUAAAUAACCUUUCCUAAUAUGGUUUAAAUUAUAACAAAAAAAAUGUAUUUUAUUUAACAAAAUGGGUUAGACCCAAAAGCAAUUGAAACAAGCCCAUAUCAAAGAGAAGGAUUAUACCUUUUUAGGGUCAGUUUAGUCCAGCUCAAUGGCCCACAGAAGCCGAAAUCUGCUACACUCGAUCUGCUUCCUGAGGCCCACAAGGCAGAAUUCGAAACGCGUCGUUUGGUACCUGAGACACUACUCAAUAUGGCGUCGUUUAGCCUUGAACCUUUCAGUUCCCCGCUCCCUGAAAUGGUGCUAUUUGGUUCUCUUACACCUGGGUAUAAAAACCCCUUUUUUGGCCUUUUCUAUUAUUUUCACCAUCCCCUUUCUCUCUCUAGCCCAAAUGCUCUCCCUUCUCUGUAGCUUCAAGCCACGGCCCCCCCUUUGACCGCUGGCCUUCACUCUCCCUUAUGUCGGUGGCUUGCCUUUAACCGGUGGCCUAGGUGUUCUUCCCCUCUCUACCGGCGUUGAUCUAGCCUUACUCCGCCGUCGGUGCCGUUCGGAUCUUUUCUUUUCGCAGGUCGGUGGCAGUAAGAUCAAACCAAAAGUCUUCUCUCUCUCUCCUUCGUUACCUUGCCGUCGGCCAGAUCUCACUAUCCCCUAAAAUACCCAAAUCAAAAAUGCAACCCAAAUCACCCUCCGCCUUUCCUCUUUUUUUUUUUAUAUCUUAUGUAUUUUUUGUUUUUUUGUUAUUGAUUGUGGUUAGGUAGUUGGCUGCUAGAUCUUAGGAUUUCGGAUUUGAUUUGGGGUUUUUUUUUUGUUGUUGUUGCUAUUUGAAAAAUAAAAAAUUUCUAGUUGGAUAUAGACUUUUUUUUUUUGAAACGUUUUCUCUCUGAUUUUUUUUUGGUUUGAAACUCUUUUUUUUUUUUAAUCUCGGUUUUCUUGCCCCUCAAAAUCCUCCCCCUGAUCGGUUUGAAACCCCCCUUUUUAAGAAUGGAUUGUCCAAAAAUUUGGACAAUCUAGAGGUGAAAACAUGCUCUUCUGAGCAUCAUUUCACAAGGCUCUGACAAACAGGAAGGGUUGGUAGCUGGAGAUGACCACUCCUCCCCAAAUCCGGCUACCUUUCAGGGGCAUUAAUGCCCUGUAAUGAUAAACUAGAGGAGGGGUUGAGCACACGCUCAGUCCCUUUCUGUUCAUUCAUCAUCAUUUUUUUAUUUUUUUAUUAUUUUUAUCUAUAUUUAUUAAUUUUUUUAAAUUUUUGAGCUUUUUUUCUUUUUUCUUUUUAUUCUUUGGAAGUAGGUGUCUACAAUUACAAUCUCCUACUAAGAUAUAUAUCUAAAUUACAUUAUCUUUUUAAUAAAUCUUACAUUAUUAUUUAAAAAAUAUUCACAUAUAGAUGAAUCUUAAAAUAUCUAAAAUGUGGAUAAUAUAUCUAUCAUUUAUCAAAUUUACUUUAAUUUGAAUUGAUUUAAUGUAGUGUGAUAUGUCUACAUUUCACACCAAUUUGAUAUUUUAUUUUACUUGGAAAUAUGGAUAUUUUUGUUUAAAAUAGUCAAUUAUACUUUUGUUUGAAGUAUAGAAGAGGAGAAUUUUUUUUUUUACGUAGAGUAUUAGCUAGAGUAGAAGAAUUUGCUAGCCUAGAAUCCUAGAUACGCUCGGGCUAGGAACGAUGUACAGAAAAUCCAUAAUUCUAGUAUUUUACUCAAUUAUGAGCUUAAUAUUUAAAAUUAAUGGAGUUUUUAUUUUAAAAAAAGUAUAAGAAAAAGAACAAUAAUGUCAAUUAAAAAAUUUAAUUUAUCAAAUAAAUGAAUAUUAGAAAAACAGAAAAAAAACCAAAAUAUUUCAUAAAUGAUUGCAGAAGAAAACAAAAAUAUUUAAUAAUUUAUUUUGCAAUAUCAUUUCAAAUAAUUUAGCAUUGUUCUUUCCUUACAUCCACACUUGUGUCAAUGAUUCAUCCUUUGUAAUGCUUUAAAAUUAAAUAGUUCUAAUCAAAAACAGUCUCUUACCUACGGCUCCCAUCUGUAUUAGAAAUGUUCUAGAUGCUCAGAGCACAUUCCUUUGCAUUAGGAAAAGAAGUAGUGAUUAUUAUAAUUUGCCUUUUUAGUUGCAUCGGAAAUGUCGUAUAUGCGAAGAGAUAAGAUGAAUAUCCUCUCAGCAAUGUUAUUAUCUGUAGGCUGAAUCGAAAGCAUGACAAUAUAAGAUACACUAUCAUAUUUGUCAGCCUUAAUUUGUAUCUAACCACAUACUGACUUGCUGCUGAUAAUAAAUGGUUUAUCAAAAGCACCAAAUUUGAAGCCUAAACUGAAACGCACCUUACACUAGACAACUUUAUCAAAUAAAAGAUUCUCAAUUAAACAGUAAAAGUUAAUUAUGGAGAGUCGAUUAAUUAAUCAUCACAUAUUAUUUGUCUGAAAUUUUUGGUUACUUACAUUUUAAUUUGCCUUUUUACAUUUAUUAUUUUGCAUGCUUAUUGCAGCGGGCACUGGGCAGGCUAAUUAACCAAGAAAAAGAAUGAAGGGAGGCACCAUAUUGUCUAUCGCAAUGUAUAUAGUAUUUCUUUUGGGGACUAAUUAAAUUACUCACUAACUUACCAAUUUUAUGAAAAAGGCUUGUGGGGAUCAGAGGCCUGCCGCCAGCCACCAUCGUCCCUCGCUUGGCCCCUCCUAUCCUAUGUUUAACCCUUUUGAUAGACAUGGAAGGUCUUCAUGGAGGGAGUAGAAUUUACAGUUACACCAAAAAAAUAGUAUCAAGUAUUUUCUAUGUGAGCUGGAAAUAAAGGAGAAUGUGCACUGGGAGAAGGUUCGCUAAAGAUUUGAUAAUUGCUUCAUAUAGCAUGAGAUUGUGAUCAAAGAUGGGAUAUAGUCUUAGCUCUUGAUGAGGUGAUAUAGUCUAAAAAGGAAUAUAUCUUUUAGGUGGUUUAACCCAAUGUAGAUUUAUAAAUUAAAUAAGGCUAAUAAAAAUCUACAGACAAAAUAUUAAUAUUAAUUAAGUUCUUAAUUAAUUUUUUUAUAAUUUUUUAAAGAAUCUUACUAAAUGUACUUUUGUUUUGAAAAAUUUAAAAUAAGUAUAAUUAUAGAAUAACAGUCAAAACAGAAAACAAUUAGUGAUCAAGACCACAUCACACCAAUGUGACGUAUAUGAAAAAAAAAUUAUAUUUAUUUUAUCAUAAAAUCAAGCCAUAAAACAUACAAACAAUAGAAUCAUCAUGCAUAUCUAAUAAAUAAUUUUUUAAAAAAAGAUUAAAAAUAAUAUGAAAAAUAAGCAAGAAAGAUAUUAUUAAUAAUAAAAGAAAAGAGUAUUCUAUACUUCAAUGAAGUCUUCUCAGCCUAAAGAUAACAAUAGGUUAGGCCAUUCAAUCUGGUGUUCAUCAAUAAUCUACGUCCCACAAGCUCUACCAAACAAAAUUUGAUUUUAUAAAAGAAUUUCUGAUUGCCGAGUUGCUCCUCGGAUGUAAGCUUCUACACAUAUCACAUCUUUAAACACGGGCGGGGAGUAUCGCAUCACUAUGGGCCGUGGUUCUCCAAAAAUUUUAAAUUUUUUAUAUAUUAUAUAUCUUUUAAUGAGUUUUUAAUAUAAUUUAUAUUAAAUAAUUAAUAUAAAUAAAAAAUAAUAAAAUAAUUUCACAAACUCAUUUACCUUUACUCUGAUUUUUAAACUUUUCCCCCAACUCUUUUAAAUUUCUCCACAGCUUUUUUCCUCUCUUUAUUCUUCUCUUUCUCUUCUCUUUCGUUAUUUCAUUGUGAAAUUACAAAAAUAUAAAGUUUUUUUUAUCUUUUUUUAAUUUAUAUUAUUAUUCUUAUUUAUAUUUGUUUAUUUUUUUCAAGUUUAUUAUAUUUGGUCAUAUGUUCUAAGUUUUUAUAAAUUUUUUUCUUUAAAUGUCUACAAAUCAUAAAUCAUAUUUUUCUUUUUUUUUUGUUAUGUAGAUUUUAUAUUCAAUGAUUUGUCUUUAAAAAAUUAAAAAAAUAUUAUAUAAUUUUCAAAUAUAAGUUGUAGCAUUGCAUUAUUGGUUGUUAUUUAAAAUUUCAUCAUAAAAUAAUUUUUUUAUUAAUCUUAAUUAUAUAAGAGAUUUUUUAUAUGUUUUACGUUUUAUAUUUAAUUGAAAAAAAUUAUCUUUGAGUAUUUAUUUUUAAACAAACUUGAUUAUAUAAAAAAAAUUAUUAAUAUUUUAUAUCAUAUUUAAUUAUUUAUAUUUUAUGUGUUAUUCAUCUUCUUUUAUGAUUUCUCAACAAAAAUUAGUUAACUCCAUAUUUUCUUUAGAGAUGUUUAUGAUACGAAUAUUGCUUAUAUAAAAGUGUCUUUUCACUUGAAAAAAUUAGCUGGCAUGUUAUGUUUCAAUUAAUUGAUAAUAAAAAGUAAUAAAAAUUAUUAAUUUAUUAUAUUAUUAAAAGAAUUUGGAUUUACCGCUUUUAAUUAAUAAUUUUAGAGUUGACAUUUGACUAUCAGUGGAUUGAAGUUUUCUGAUCCGAAAGGCAGAUGAGGAACAACAAACUCAUGUGCUUGGUAUCCUACUCCUAUGGUCAUAGCCCAUAGGCUAAUUGAUUCAUUUCUAGGCUUAAUGGGCUCUGUGAUAUGGGUGGGCAGUCUGCUGCAUAAAGCAUGUUACUACAGUCAAGCUUACUACAAAUCAACCAGUUUAAACCGGGCUAAAGGCAACAAUCUCUGUGAGCUGGUUUUAAAAUGUCAAAUAAUUAAUCGUACAGUAUCCCUAAAUCCAAUUAAUUUGCAACUUGAAUGGACUUGGAAUUUAGAUUAAUUUAAACUUAGAACUAUUUAGACGAUCUACGAUAACCUAAGCAAAAUCCACUUAAAAUCUGAAUUAACCUCAUGAACUUCAAAUCUCUAGCAAAAUCAAUCUUAAAAAAUCCGAACAAUUUGCUCAAAUCACACUUAAACUUCAAACAAUUUCUUUUCUGAUCACUUUCAGAACAUUAUGCUUUCCAAUCAUAUGCGUUUCACAUAAUAGCAAACACUUGAUUGCCAACAAAGAAAAUGAGAAGUGGUUAGGAGACUUAAGGGUUAAUGGCUCACAAAAUAUUGUUCAAUGGAAGAUUUGGUCAAUAGAUAGCAUACAUAAUUUAUAUAAAAUUUUUAAUAGAUACAAGCCUUAAUUAAUAGGUUUAUAUUUAAUACAUUGACAAUGUAUAAUUUCUAUACACAAGGCAUAAGAUCAUACCAUCUCAUUAAAAAAUAAAUUCAAAAUUUUAAACAAUUUAAAAAUGAAUAUUAUUAAAUUUUUUUAAAAAAUAAAAAAAGAUAAAUAAUUUUUUUUAUCUCUCUAACUCUCUCUUAUUCAAUCUCUUCCUCUUCUUCCCUCAACAACAAUAGAUUCAAAAUCGUAAUUUUUUUUUGAAAAGUAAAAUUCUAAAUUCUUAAUUUUGAUUCUUCAAAGUAAUAUUUAUUAUGUCUUAUUCUUAAUUUAAUUCUUAAUAUUUAUUUCACUUUUUUAUUUGAAAUUACUUUAAAAAAAUGAUAACAUAAUAAGGUAAAAUCUUUGAUUUGUUCAGCAAUGGCUGAUUUGCCUUGGAGUAAGUAGAAUGAAAUGAAUAAAGCAAUUGGAAAAGGUGGAAAGCAAAACAUCAACUCUAAAGGAAUAUAAAUACAGCAGGUCUCAAUCUGCAUAGCAACGUGCAAUCACAAAAAAUCUAUAGAAGCCAGGCUUUCCUCAAUACCUAGCAAGUCCAUAUAUUCUUGGUUCGUUGGAAAUUAAACGGGACGAAACAAAAAUCUACCAAGUACAACCUCUUUUAGAUCUAUGAACAGAUAAAUCCAAAAAACAACCCUAAACAAAAAUUUGUAAACAAAAAUCUUUUUUUUUUCUUUGCCGCAUGAGUCCCACAACAUUAUCACGUUGAAACUACAAAAUGAUAUCUUUACAGCGUGAGUUUCAAAGGUGUUCGAGAAAAGUCUUUUUGUUCAUCAAAUUAUAGUGAUAAAUAAAUGUUCACAAUAUAUAAAAAAUGGUAGACUAAGAAGAUGAUUGAAAUAAAUAUUAUCUUUAAAAAUUAAAAUUAAGAUUUUAGAGUUUUGAAAUUAUAACAGGAGAAGAAGAACAAGAGAAGAAGAGAUUGAGUGAAAUGGAGUUGAAUAAAAAAAUUAUUUUUAAUUUUUAAAAAAUAAUAAUAUUUAUUUUUAAACCUCUUAAAAUUUUAAAUUUAUUUUUUAGUGAAAUGGCACCAUUUGAUGUUUUAAUAAUGUAUAAAAGUUAUGUACUAUCAAUGCAUUAAAAAUAAAUUUUGAUAUAAUUCUUGUUCAUUGUCAGCAGAAAAAGUUGUCAUGAAAGUCGAGUUUUAUAAUUUUUUUUUCAAAUUUAUAUUAAGAAUUAGCUUCAGGUCAAAAAGGCUCUAUUAAGUCUUCACCUAAUCCUUCAAAAGAAAAAAACAAAAUAAAGUCAUUCCCAAAGGUUCACGUCUCUUUUCACCUCCCCUGCAAGCAAUCUCUUUGCAGUACAAAUAAAGGAUAGGCUUGAUUAAGUCGUCACCUAAUCCUUCAAAAGAAAAAUAUAAAAGGUCAACCCCAAAGGUUCACGUCUCUUUUCACCUCCUAUGCAAGCAAUCUCUUUGCAGUAUAAAUAAAGGAACUCAAUAAACUCAUAUGCACAAAAUUAGCUUUAGAAAAAUGAAGUCUCCCCACCUUUUAGUAUAUCUAUUUCUUUUCGCUGCUCUCUUCUCAUUGUCAUGGGCAACUUCGGCUCAUACUCAUGAGCGUUUUCUUCAUUGUCUUUCCCUUCGUUCCGAGAACUCCUCUUUCAUUUCUAAAAUCAUCUAUACACAACAUAAUUCUUCCUAUUCCUCUAUUUUGGAGUUUUCUAUGCAUAAUCUCAGGUUCUCCACGCCAUCUACCGCCAAACCUCAAGUCAUUAUAACACCAUUUCAUACAUCCCAUAUUCAAGCAACAAUUUACUGUUCAAAAAAACAUGAACUCCAAAUUAGAACUCGAAGUGGUGGUCAUGAUUUUGAAGGCCUUUCUUAUGUCUCUGAAGUUCCAUUUGUCAUAAUUGAUCUGAUUAAUUUUCGAUCAGUUGACAUUGAUGUGGAAAACAAAAUUGCAUGGGUUCAAUCUGGUGCAGUUCUUGGUGAGCUAUAUUACAGAAUUGCUGAAAAAAGUAAAACUCUUGCCUUCCCAGCUGGUAUUUGUCACACUGUAGGUGUUGGUGGAUAUUUUAGUGGAGGAGGUUAUGGCUUAUUAUUUCGAAAAUACGGUCUUGCCGUUGAUAACAUAAUUGAUGCUCAAUUCAUUGACGUUAAUGGACGAAUUCUUGACAGAAAAGCCAUGGGAGAAGAUUUGUUUUGGGCCAUUCGAGGAGGUGGAGGGGGUAGCUUUGGCAUUGUUAUCGCAUGGAAAUUAAAGCUGGUUCCGGUUCCAGCAACUGUGACUGUUUUCACCAUUAGCAGAACAUCAGAACAAAAUGCGAUCAAACUUGUCCACCGUUGGCAAUAUGUUGCACACAAGCUUCCCGACGGAACAUUCUCCUUGGUUGGCUUAAGUAGUGUGAAUUCUAGUCAAGAUGGGAAAAAGACGAUUUUAGCUUCCUUUAGGUUAUUCUUUCUCGGUGGCGUUGAUGAGCUUGUUCCAUUGAUGCAAGAGAGAUUUCCAGAGCUUGGACUAGUAAAGGAAGAUUGCACUGAAAUGAGUUGGCUUGAAUCUAUUCUCUACUUCGGUCAAAUUCAAAAUAAAUCCUUGGAUAUUUUGCUUGAUAGGACUUUCCAAAGUCCUCUCAUUAGUCCAGCCUUCAAAGCAAAAUCUGACUAUGUAAAGGAACCUGUUCCUGAAAUUGCGUUAGAAGGGCUAUGGUCAAAGCUUUUUGAGGAAGAAGCAAAAUCUGCCGGUAUAGUUUUUGUGGCUUAUGGGGGGAUAAUGGAUGAGAUUCCAGAGACUGCAACUCCAUUUCCGCAUAGAGCUGGCAACUUAUACAAAAUCUUAUAUACCGUAGGUUGGCAAAAAGAAGACAACAAAAAUUCCCAGAAGUACAUAAGUUGGAUUAGGAGAGUUUAC
Molecule: long non-coding RNA, 29385 nt
Filed under: Theobroma cacao (cacao)
Lineage: Eukaryota; Viridiplantae; Streptophyta; Magnoliopsida; Malvales; Malvaceae
Description: long non-coding RNA (TCAC_LNC002118)
Source: RNAcentral